UGGGGAAUAUUGCACAAUGGGCGCAAGCCUGAUGCAGCCAUGCCGCGUGUGUGAAGAAGGCCUUCGGGUUGUAAAGCACUUUCAGCGAGGAGGAAGGUGGUGAGCUUAAUACGCUCAUCAAUUGACGUUACUCGCAGAAGAAGCACCGGCUAACUCCGUGCCAGCAGCCGCGGUAAUACGGAGGGUGCAAGCGUUAAUCGGAAUUACUGGGCGUAAAGCGCACGCAGGCGGUUUGUUAAGUCAGAUGUGAAAUCCCCGGGCUCAACCUGGGAACUGCAUUUGAAACUGGCAAGCUAGAGUCUCGUAGAGGGGGGUAGAAUUCCAGGUGUAGCGGUGAAAUGCGUAGAGAUCUGGAGGAAUACCGGUGGCGAAGGCGGCCCCCCUGGACGAAGACUGACGCUCAGGUGCGAAAAGCGUGGGGAGCAAAACAGGAUUAGAUACCCUGGUAGUCCACGCUGUAAAACGAUGUCGAUUUGGAGGUUGUGCCCUUGAGGCGUGGCUUCCGGAGCUAACGCGUUAAAUCGACCGCCUGGGGAGUACGGCCGCAAGGUUAAAAACUC
Molecule: ribosomal RNA, 560 nt
Filed under: uncultured bacterium
Lineage: Bacteria
Description: partial 16S ribosomal RNA
Rfam family: Bacterial small subunit ribosomal RNA
Source: RNAcentral